UACGUAGGAGGCGAGCGUUGUCCGGAAUCACUGGGCGUAAAGCGCGUGUAGGCGGGAAGGCAAGUCUGCUGUGAAAGCGCCUGGCUUAACCGGGCGAGGUCGGCGGAAACUGCUUACCUGGAGGACGGUAGAGGGGGGUGGAAUUCCCGGUGUAGUGGUGAAAUUCGUAGAUAUUCGCAAGAACACCAGUGGCGAAGGCGGCUCACUGGCCCGAUACUGACGCUGAGGUGCGAAAGCGUGGGGAGCAAACAGG
Molecule: ribosomal RNA, 253 nt
Filed under: uncultured bacterium
Lineage: Bacteria
Description: partial 16S ribosomal RNA
Rfam family: Bacterial small subunit ribosomal RNA
Source: RNAcentral